AUGGCAUUUCUCAUCACGGUGCGCGCCAAAAAGAAGAAGAAGCAGCUGGAACGAAUGAGCAUCACACAUCUGAGCGCCAUGCGUCGCGGCCGAUCGAAAUUUCGCGGGAACGUGGGCGUGGGGGCGAGCAGAACAGAGCGGGAACAGAGGAGCCACCGACGGGCUGGCUCACAUGAAUCUCGGGCCGGCCGAUGUGGUGGCCGCCGCGGUGGUCGACACCAUCAUCAUGCGCGCGAAGUCCUGGAAGCCGACGAAGCCGUCGCCGUCGGCGUCGACGCCGCCGAUCAUGCGGCGGCAGUCGUCGAGGCUGCACCCGUCGGCCUCGCCGCCGAGGAUGGCGACCAUGACGCCGCGGAGCUCCUCGGCGGUGAUGCGGCCGUCGCCGUCGGCGUCGAACACGUUGAACGCUUCCAUCAGCUCGUCCUCGGGGCCGGCCUCCCCGGCGGCCGCGAUGGCCGCCACGGCGUCGAGCUCGUCGUCCGACGGCUCCUCGUGGCCCAGCCGCCGGAGCACGGCCUCCAGCUCCCGCCGCGAGAUCUCCGCGGGGAGCACCGACCGCGGCGUGGACGCCCGCGGCAGCGCGUCCUCGGUGGACGACGAGGUGGAGGAGGAGGACGCGGACGCGAACGACGGCGCCUCGCUCCGGGAGAUGCCCCGCUUGCCGCUGCCGCUGCCGCCGCCGUCCUGCUGCUGCUGCUUCUUGCCCCGCUUGGGCGACGGGAUGGAGAGCUUCCGGGCCAGCGACUGCAUGGAGAGCUUCAUCCUUCUUCGAAGAGAGAAACAAUGGAGAGGAGACGAAUGCAGCAGGGAGGGGAGGAAGGAUGGAUUGAUGGGGAUGUGUGGGGUGGGUGGAGACGGAGGGGGGAGGCAGCGAUAAAUAGGGGAGGCGGAGGACGGGGAGCGGGGGCGGGAGUGAGCUUCGCGGAAGCUUCCUCCGUCCCGGGGUUCCCGAUUUUUCAGUCGUCGAGCUCGCGUCCGACCCGAGCGAGCGAGCGCAAGGAGGCACACGACUGCAUUCACGGGGACGAGUAG
This 1032-nucleotide ribosomal RNA is filed under the name Triticum aestivum (bread wheat). RNAcentral describes it as "partial small subunit ribosomal RNA". The record is from RNAcentral. Lineage: Eukaryota; Viridiplantae; Streptophyta; Magnoliopsida; Poales; Poaceae.